This 468-nucleotide ribosomal RNA is filed under the name uncultured bacterium. RNAcentral's name for it is "partial 16S ribosomal RNA". It matches the Rfam family "Bacterial small subunit ribosomal RNA", at positions 28 to 507 of the family's 1533-position model. The record is from RNAcentral.
GACGAACGCUGGCGGCGGGCUUAACACAUGCAAGUCGAACGGAAAGGCCCUGCUUUUGUGGGGUGCUCGAGUGGCGAACGGGUGAGUAACACGUGAGUAACCUGCCCUUGACUUUGGGAUAACUUCAGGAAACUGGGGCUAAUACCGGAUAGGAUCUGCUGCUGCAUGGUGGGGUGUGGAAAGUUUCGGCGGUUGGGGCUGGACGCGCGGCUUUUCAGCUUGUUGGUGGGGUAGUGGCUUACCAAGGCGUUGACGGGUAGCCGGCCUGUGAGGGUGACCGGCCACAUUGGGACUGAGAUAGGGCCCAGACUCGUACGGGAGGCAGAAGUGGGGAAUAUUGCACAAUGGGCGGAAGCCUGAUGCAGCAACGCCGCGUGCGGGAUGACGGCCUUCGGGUUGUAAACCGCUUUCGCCUGUGACGAAGCGUGAGUGACGGUAAUGGGUAAAGAAGCACCGGCUAACUACGUG